RNAcentral lists this long non-coding RNA (225 nucleotides) under Ananas comosus (pineapple). RNAcentral describes it as "long non-coding RNA (ACOM_LNC018862)". The record is from RNAcentral. Lineage: Eukaryota; Viridiplantae; Streptophyta; Magnoliopsida; Poales; Bromeliaceae.
AUUCGCAUAAACAAAAUUUAGAAUGGACCGGUUAUAUUACUGGUAUGAUAUUCUCAAUCAAUAAGAUAAUCUCUCUUAUUCUCUUAUGCUCAUCCAUUCAAUUAUAAUUAAUAAUAAAUUAUUAUUAUUAUAUUUUUUUUAACAUUAAAAAUAUUAUUGACUUGUUAUUAAUAAUACGAUACAAAUGUGUGACACAUUAAACAUUCUCUUUUAUCAUGUAUGGAA